This is a long non-coding RNA of Haliotis rufescens (red abalone), 4295 nucleotides long. RefSeq lists it as uncharacterized. The transcript is spliced from 2 exons. NCBI's taxonomy places the organism in Eukaryota, Metazoa, Mollusca, Gastropoda, Lepetellida, Haliotidae. The record is from RefSeq and is a predicted model, not a curated record.
CACACCCACCCACCCCACCCGCUCUCAGAUUGUGGUUGUGACAUUUCUGCAUAGAGAUCCCAGUGACUCAGUCCAAGGCACUGACCAGAUGGACCAUCGUGUAUCACAGUGCCAUACGUGUUCACAGGCUUGUGGGAACCAUCAACCAGCUUUUGUUACAUUAAUAUAAUGGAGAUUUUAUCAACUUUUGUUUGUCUAUAUAUCAUCAAUGUAAAUACAUGUUCAGUUGCUAUUGUGAAUGGCUGCUUAAUUCCUACAACAAUCUCAUUAACGCCAGAUCUUUCACUCUGAUUUGAUAGCCCUCUCCAUAAAGAUCUGACGAACACUGCAUAGCAGGUGUUAUCAGGUCACUGCAUGGCAGGUAUUAUCAGGUCACUGCAUGGCAGGUAUUAUCAGGUCACUGCAUGGCAGGUAUUAUCAUGUGAACUUUCUGAUCAGCCAAUCAUCGUGGAGGAUUAAUUGUCCGUACAAGUCAGCAAAGUAUAACAAGCAGCAUAUCUGAUUUCUGUAUACUGAAAAAUGAACAGGCAGCUCCGAAUGGGAAUAAUAGUGGUUGCACAAUGUUGUGGAUAAUUAACACCCUGUCCUUUCUUACAGUCAGUGACCUCAGAAUUUCCCCAGGUGUGCUUUCAUUUCUCCUACAACAAACUGUAGUAAAACUGACCCCUUAAGUGAUCCUCCAGUUUGACAAAGCUGAGUUGUUUUAGAAAGCUGACAUCGGAGUAGCCCAAAAGCACACAAAUCCUUCACUUUCAAAUUUUUCUCAUUGUCAGAUUCUGACAGAGAAAGGUAUCAACUUGAGGGGUAUCAAAUAGGUGUAAAAGAUCUGAUUUUAAUUGAGAUUGUUUUUAUCGACAUGUUGCCAACACCAUGGGCGCACAAGGUGAGAUUUGUUCCCCAGUAGCCUGUGGUCGGGCUCAGUGACUGGGUUGAUGUUGUGUCAUUGUACCCUGACAGAUCUGGACAUUACUUGUAAUACUACAGGUUUGUCUUGGCAAUAUUAUCUUAAAGGUUGCCAUGCUGGAAUAUUGCUGACUGCAGCAUUAAACAACAAACAAAUGAUUGCAGACAUGCAGUUAAAUUCAAGUAUCUACUAAUGCCGUGGCACUAGAUUUUUAAGGUUCUAGUAUUUUGCAAUUCAAUUUCUCUACUUUUUGAGUACGACUUGAGUUUAUGGCGACUCCAUCAUGGUGAAGCUGUUGCUCAAGCAUGUCUCUGUGUCGCUUUAUGUCUCUUGUAAUCUCAUAUUGCUGUAGUAAUUACUGUAGUACAAUCAUACCCCUUGUACUCUAGUUUACUAUCAUUUUAUUAAUCUAUUUAAAAUCAGAUUUUUUACCUCUGAGGGAGGUGUCUAAUUUGUACAAAAGAUCUGAUUUUAAUGAGAUCGUCCUUUUACAGAAGUGAUAGUGUAUCACCCACAUUUGUUUAGUGUCAUGUAUAUUAUAUACUUAGACUUCCUAAUAAGGCAAUUAAAAUGCAUGAAUUGAAUGUUAAGUUGAAUUCAUCUCACUUUGUUUUCACUUGUAAGGCUAUUAUUCUGUAAUAUUUCAAAAUCCUAAAGAAUCUGAGUCCAGUAUUAUGAUUAUGGCAAAUGUUUUCAUCAUAUGCAUGGUAAGGGUUGGCCAAAUUUGGUCUUACACUUCUAGCUGUAAAUCUGCUUGGGGAUUUUGUUCUCAUUUAGAGAGAACUACAUUUUAACUCACCUGACUUAAGCCACUGGAACGAUGAAACUAAAACUUCACAUUCUUGUUCCCACCAAUGAUGACACCCCAGUUUGUUCAAAAUGUUCAAAGUCUCCAAGGCAGCCAUAUUGAAAAAAACCCUUUAUGGCCAUUUCUUACAAAAUUACUGAAAUUUGGUACAUGUUUAGUUUGUAGUGGGUCUCAGCAUACAUAAUGUGUGCUGUUUUUUGUGAUGUUUUAAAUUUUGACCUUGAUUUGACCUUGGUACUUCAAACAUACUGAAAGCUGAAACUUCCUAUGGUCUGAAAUUUGGUAUGUGUGUAGUUGGUAGUGGGCUCAACACAUGUGUUCCAUCUUACGCUAAAUCUUAUUUUGAUCUUGGUUUGACCUUUGCACUUUUAAAAUAUGCCCUUCAUACAUUAUCUCAAAAUGCAUUUUCUCACACUGUAACCAUUACAUGCUUGUUCCCACCAUUGAUUCACCACUGAAGUUGUUCAACAGGCUCUAGUCUGAAUUUCAAUAUGGCCACCACAACAGUUAUAUUGGAAAAAAAAGUAUUGAUGGCCACUGCUCAGCAAUUUCUGCCCCAAAUAUAAUGUAAUGCUCUGAAAUUAUCUCAAAAUGCAUUUUCUCUGUAAACAUCUGUGACAUUGCCAGACUGAGGAAGCUGAACUCUGGUAUGUAUGGUUCCCCUCAUGACAUUAUAUCGUUUUCAAUCAUUAAGAUUUAAAUGUUUUUUUGGUGAAACAGUUCUGUGGCAUUAGAAAAUUAUUAUCCUUGAAAGGUUUAUGAGGCUCGGAGAUGAAACUUUUGUGUAUUGUAACAAUGUUCUACAAUAGUACAUUUAUUCUUGCAGACUUAGAAAAAUAGUGACUUGUUAGUUACUUGUUCACACUUUUGUCUUCAGUAUUGAUGCAGAAAGUACUUAAGUAGCAAUACUGGCAGCAACUGUUCUUAAAUGGCAGUCUGUUGUCAUGUUAGACUGUGGACUACUUAUUCAGGUGAGCUACUGUGCUACAUACUACUGUUUGGACAUCUGACACAGUAUAUGAAACUUAGAAUAUGUAUAAAAUUUAAAUACAAAUACAUGAAUGUAAUAUGAUUGUUCUGGAUGAAAAGGCAUUUUACAGUUGAACAGUGAUUUUUAUUUUGACUAGCGUACAUACCGGUAUACUAAUGUGGAUGUGUGUCUUAUGUUGAUUGCAUUAUAGUCUGAAAUGAGCUGGCUGUUCCACAAUCUGUCUGUGUAGUUACUAGCUGGCUUAGUUAUCUGUAGAAAUAUGUCUUGGCAUAAACACUCACAGAACAUCUUACGAGUAUGAAGCCUUCUUUGUUUUAGUAGUUGGUUCACAAAAGAUUGGCCCAAAAUUCAGUGUAGGUAGGGGAAAAUAAUUGACAAAAUACCCUCCCUAAUAAAGAACAAGAUUAAACUUGGCAGAACAUUGAGUUUAUGGUUUGACACUAGUUUCAGCAGUUUCCGUCCUGUUGGUACACCAGGGAACAUCAAUCAGUGUGUCCAUCAGGGUAUUCAUACAGGAUACUCACAGGUAGUUAAAGGAGGCAUCAGUUUCUAAAUGGGUGGUAUUCGUUGUGCAAACAGCUGUAACUUACAUUAGUUUCAUGUUCCUGGGACAACACAUUUAAUUGUGAAUUUUGACCCAUUCAAAACAUUUAAAAAAUAAUUUCAAAUUUUUCUAACUUCAAUUAAUUUGCUGGUUUUGUGAACCAACUAAUGAAAAAUUAGAAUGCCUAAAAAUAAGACUGUCAGUUCACAGGCACUGAGAAAUCUGUGACAAGCACCUGAAGGCGGAUGCCUCUUGGUUUCCUGUGUGUCUACGGCAUCAGAUUUAGCCUGAUACCCCAUCUUUAGUGGGUUGUGUACUUUCCAAAAGAAGCAAUUCAAGUGUAUAGAAACCCGAGAUCCUCCUCCAGUUUAUUUCACAAAUGGGCAUAAUUCCACACACAUAAUGUCUGUAAAUACUUUGAACUACAUUUUGUUGUUCAACCAGUAAAAGUCUGUGCCAAAAAUGUCAAAUGUUCAAACAUGUCUAUGGACAUCACAUUCAGAAGGUUUUAGUACCAAUCUAUAGGCUAAACCAGAGCUUACCAGACCGAACAUGGUUUUACUAGAUUUGGGCAUUAGGGUAGUGGCUGAAGUCACAGUUAGUACUACUACAAUUAAUGACAUCUUUCUGAUUGACUAAGAAGACUAAGGAAGUAUUUCCCUUGUCACUAUGUCUUCACGAUAGGUCAGCCCAAACAUUGGUUGGCUUUGUAUUUUUGAUCAACAAAUAAAAUUAAGAAGCCAUGUUAAGCAAUAAGUUUUCUUUGUGCCAGGCUAAAAUGGUUUUUUGAAUAUAAAUAAUUAAUUAUGUACAAGGUAAGCAAUUUCCAAGGUAACUGUAGAGCUUUGAGUUUGAUGUUAUUUAUUUUUAUGUGACAACUAUGUGUACAGCAGGGAGGUGUUGUGUGUGUGUGACCAGUACGAACACACCAUGUUGGACACGCCGGGUCCAUAGACCACAAGAAACUCAGUUUCUUAGUCAUCUUUGUUAUGUGUUACUUUUACACUGUUGUAACUGUACCUACUGCAAUUAAAUGUUCACCAUCGUC